This 253-nucleotide ribosomal RNA is filed under the name uncultured bacterium. Its description in RNAcentral is "partial 16S ribosomal RNA". It matches the Rfam family "Bacterial small subunit ribosomal RNA", at positions 524 to 776 of the family's 1533-position model. The record is from RNAcentral.
UACGGAGGGGGCUAGCGUUGUUCGGAAUUACUGGGCGUAAAGCGCGCGUAGGCGGACCUGCAAGUCGGGGGUGAAAGCCCGAGGCUCAACCUCGGAACUGCCUUCGAAACUGCCGGUCUUGAGUUCGGGAGAGGUGAGUGGAACUGCGAGUGUAGAGGUGAAAUUCGUAGAUAUUCGCAAGAACACCAGUGGCGAAGGCGGCUCACUGGCCCGAUACUGACGCUGAGGUGCGAAAGCGUGGGGAGCAAACAGG